CAGCGAAAUGCGAUACCUAGUGUGAAUUGCAGAAUUCCGCGAAUCAUCGAGUCUUUGAACGCAAGUUGCGCCCGAGGCUUGUCCCGAGGGCAUGCCUGCCUGAGCGUCACCGCACUCCCACCCGACGAACCCUCGUCGCGAGUGGAACUGGCCGUCCGGGGUCGGGCGUCGAUGCCCAGUGCCGCGGUCGGCUGAAAUGGAGCGUUCCGGACGUAGCCGGAGAGGGGGAUAGCGAGAAGGUGAUCCGCCUUCGGGCGGAGUCUAUUUUGACAGCGUCCCUCGAUCCGGAGGGUCCCACGGAACUCGGAGCGAGAGCUCGCCCGGUCGAUCGUCCGCGGUCGACCGGGAGAGUCACACCACGGCUCGGACCUCAGAUCAGGCAAGAUUACCCGCUGAGUUUAAGCAUAUCACU
Molecule: ribosomal RNA, 412 nt
Filed under: Metzgeria furcata var. ulvula
Lineage: Eukaryota; Viridiplantae; Streptophyta; Jungermanniopsida; Metzgeriales; Metzgeriaceae
Description: eukaryotic LSU rRNA
Rfam family: 5.8S ribosomal RNA (bases 1-109)
Source: RNAcentral